UAAUUGAAACCAAAUAGAGGUAAAUUAUUGUUAAUAAUUUUAAUGAAAAAAUACUCCAAUUAA
RNAcentral lists this transfer RNA (63 nucleotides) under Camponotus concavus. RNAcentral's name for it is "tRNA-Asn". The record is from RNAcentral. Lineage: Eukaryota; Metazoa; Arthropoda; Insecta; Hymenoptera; Formicidae.